UACGUAGGGGGCAAGCGUUAUCCGGAUUUACUGGGCGUAAAGGGAGCGUAGGCGGCCUGCCAAGUCUGAUGUGAAAUACCGGGGCUCAACCCCGGGGCUGCAUUGGAAACUGGCAGGCUGGAGUGCCGGAGAGGCAGGCGGAAUUCCUAGUGUAGCGGUGAAAUGCUUAGAGAUCAUACAGAACACCGAUUGCGAAGGCAGCUUACCAAGCUACUUCUGACGUUGAGGCACGAAAGCGUGGGGAGCAAACAGG
This 253-nucleotide ribosomal RNA is filed under the name uncultured bacterium. RNAcentral describes it as "partial 16S ribosomal RNA". It matches the Rfam family "Bacterial small subunit ribosomal RNA", at positions 524 to 776 of the family's 1533-position model. The record is from RNAcentral.